This is a long non-coding RNA of Rattus norvegicus (Norway rat), 695 nucleotides long. RefSeq lists it as uncharacterized. The record is from RefSeq and is a predicted model, not a curated record. NCBI's taxonomy places the organism in Eukaryota, Metazoa, Chordata, Mammalia, Rodentia, Muridae.
GGGGGGGCUGCUGGGGCCUGGAGGUCAAAAGUCUCCCUGGGAGCACUGCCAUCCAGAGCUGCAGUCAGAGCUGCCUGGUCUGACCCUGCUGCUUCCCUUCCUGGAGCCCCUCUCGAUAAUGGCACCAUGUUGAGACCAGUAUUUGUGCACCCUGUGCGAGCAUGAGCCUCAGAGGUCAGAGGAGGUUGUUGGAGCCCCUGCAGCUGGAGUUACAGGCAGUUGUAAGCUGUCACGUGGAAGCUGGAAACCACUCUUACUUGGGUCCUCAGCAAGAACAACAGCUCCAGCCCCUUCUCCAUGUUUCUGAAUCACAACUCCCUUUAGGCGCACCAGAAGAGCAGGGGUCCUCAUGGCGGCACCGUAGUGCAUGGUGUGGCUAAGCCUCUGUAUCCUAGCUGCUUGUUGAUUCUCUGCCCUUUUUCCUUCAUGGAGCAGGUUUCUGGCCACCGCACCCCAUUUUAGUUGCUUUCUUGGUGUCUAUGCUGUGAGUUGCGGCCUCGGAAAUCCCUGCCGGGGCCCAGUGCUUAGUUCUGCACUGGGGCCAAGAUCUGCACCAUGUUAACUGGGUCACCUGAAAAUAUGAGCAAAGCAAAGUGGGGGCGUGAGUCCCCAGAAUGGGCACCACUGGCCAGGUGGCAUUAAUGUCAUAGCCUCAUUCUUCUUAAAAAUAAUAACAAUAAAAUACUUUUAAAAGA